UAACAAAUUGCUGUAGUUUCUACAGCAAAAUUUUACAGGAAAUUCCUGUUUUAACAUUUUACAAGAUUUUAGUGUAGUUCACAAUGCAUUAUGGGUAAAAGAAAGUAUUACAGCUGUUAACAGUAUAUUUUCAUUUAAACUGUAAUUGAAUUUACAGGCAGAAGGUGUUGCCACUGUAUAUCAUAUGUUUUUACAAAAAUUAAUUGUGAAAUGGCAUCAUGGGAUUGCGUGGGUGUAUUUACGUUUGAAAUGGACAUGAACACUAAAGAGUCAUCAUUCAAAAUUGUUGGCAUGAGCGAGGCAGCAAAAAGCGCGAGGGGUCUCGUAACGGCUGGACUGCAAGGUGGUGAGACUAAUCUUCGAACUUAAAGGCACGAGACAGCAGAGAUUGCAACUCUAACCUGAUAGGACUGGUGGUGUGAGACAAAUGAGAAAAGAUUAUUUUUAGGUGAAAUCCUCAAUGCAACUCAGUGGAUGCUGAGUAUGGACGGUCAGGUGGUUGUGAAUCCACACCCCAACCUUGUGGCUGGAUUUGCAGCUUUGUUCGCAUCAUACUACAACUUCAACCUGGUUUACCAGAGGAAGGCAUCCUCCACACUUGAAUUUGUUCAAAGAUGUUUUGUUGGAAUCACACCUACCACUGGCAUCAAGACAGCAUCAAGAGGCAAAAAAGUGGAAACGCCUCUGAGAAGAGAAACAACACCAUCAACCCUUAUGUGUGUACUCUUUUCAGAAAAUUUUUGGACUUUAAAUGGUUACGCAUGUAAGUUCUUGUUCAUGUAUUAAGACCAAAACAUGUUUUAAAUAGGCCAGUUCUGUGAUUGAACACUUGUGUUUCUAGACAUACAAGUUCCCUGCUGAAAAAAACAGCAUACCAGCAAGACCAGCAUAUGUUGUGUUUUGGUGCUGGUUUGCUAGUGAACACCAGCUAAACCAGCAUCAGCACCAGCAUUAGCACCAGCUAAACCAGCACCAAACCAGCAUUAGCUCCAGCUAAACCAGCAUUAGCACCAGUAUACCAUGCUGGUCAUACCAGCAUAUGUUGUGUUUUGGUGCUGGUAUGCUGGUGACCACCAGCUAAACCAGCAUAGACCAGCAUAAUUCCCAUGCUGGUCCAUGCUGGUUUGAUGCUGUUUUUUUCAGCAGGGUUGUUAUGUUCUAACACAGAUUCAACAAGAUCUUAAAUGUAACACAAACCGUGUUUAGAUGUUUUAUAGAUGCCAUUGUUUUAGAAUAUUUAGGAUUGAGUGGAAUAGUUGCUGAAACAA
Long non-coding RNA from Paramisgurnus dabryanus, 1268 nucleotides. RefSeq lists it as uncharacterized. The record is from RefSeq and is a predicted model, not a curated record. NCBI's taxonomy places the organism in Eukaryota, Metazoa, Chordata, Actinopteri, Cypriniformes, Cobitidae.